GGAAGUAAAAGUCGUAACAAGAUUUCCGUAGGUGAACCUGCGGAAGGAUCAUCACAGAGUUCAUGCCCUCACGGGUAGAUCUCCCACCCUUGAAUAUUUAUACCUUAGUUGCUUUGGCAGGCCGUGGAAACACCAUGGGCUCCGGCUUAUGCGUGCCUGCCAGAGGAAACAAACUCUGUUUUUAGUGAUGUCUGAGUACUAUAUAAUAGUUAAAACUUUCAACAACGGAUCUCUUGGUUCUG
This 242-nucleotide unclassified non-coding RNA is filed under the name plant metagenome. RNAcentral's name for it is "partial contains small subunit ribosomal RNA, internal transcribed spacer 1, and 5.8S ribosomal RNA". The stretch from base 1 to 54 matches the Rfam family "Eukaryotic small subunit ribosomal RNA", at positions 1778 to 1831 of the family's 1831-position model. The record is from RNAcentral.